CAGGGAAGUGACUGUGGGAAGAAGUUGUAUAAGGGAGAUUUCUGAAUGGGCAGCUCUGAGGAUAUAGCUGGGAGGAGACGGAGGAGCAGAAACUGUAUUGCAGACAGGAGAAGAAGAGAAGGAACAGGAAGAGGAGGAGGAGGAAGAAGAUAAAGAGAAGGAGGGAGAAGAAGAAAAGAAACAAAAUUCCCCACUCUCUCGAAGACAGACCCUGAUGAAGUGGCGCCUGAUUCAGUGAUUUGUGACCCCUAAUGGCCCUGGCGCCUCACCCCAAAUGGCCAGGCUCAGUCAGGUGAAGGCAGGACUGAGGUUUGUAGCCCACACCAUCUGUGUGGAGCACCCUGCAUUUCUCCCAGGUUCUUCAGGGUGGAGCUUCAUCUUUCUUUGGCCUCUUGGACCCAGGUGAGUGAAGACUGGCCCUUCUCGGGGUCCAGACUUGUGUUGGGUAAAGAGAAGAGUUUAAAACCAAGAACUUCCCCUCCCAGGGGGCUCUGUUUUACAGCAGGGCUAAAGUUCCACAGAAGAGACACUGAGAGCAGAUUGGAGUUUGUGACAUUGCAUGGGGUGAGGGUGGGGGUGCUUCAGGACCAGAACGGAUCUUCCUGAGUUCUGGGAUCCUAUAGGUCUGUCUACCCUUAGUAUGAGGCACCAGAGGCCUAGUCAAAUGAGUUGCACAUAAACCUUUCCCAGGCUCAGCCUGUCCCCGCCUCCUCAUACUCUGUCCAGUGGGCCUCGGGGAGGCCUUUGUGAAAAGUCUUCCUCAAGGGACUGUCCUUCCCUUUCACACCUUGGGUUUUCCCAUUCAAAUCCUCUUUACAUGACUUCUCAUGUGGACUCAAGUCUAGGAGACCAGAGAAAGGAGGAAGCAAUCUUCAGCUAUGUGUUACUCAGCCUCAGGUCCAAGGGUGACAGAUUUUAUUCUAAUAAAGCACAGCAGUGUCUUUCUGCCUUUUAUUUUUAC
RNAcentral lists this long non-coding RNA (961 nucleotides) under Cricetulus griseus (Chinese hamster). RNAcentral's name for it is "lncRNA (ENSCGRG00015036419.1)". Lineage: Eukaryota; Metazoa; Chordata; Mammalia; Rodentia; Cricetidae. The record is from RNAcentral.